RNAcentral lists this long non-coding RNA (686 nucleotides) under Phoenix dactylifera (date palm). RNAcentral's name for it is "long non-coding RNA (PDAC_LNC011358)". Lineage: Eukaryota; Viridiplantae; Streptophyta; Magnoliopsida; Arecales; Arecaceae. The record is from RNAcentral.
UCCACUGUAUAUUAUUGUCCUGGCCAAGGUCUUAGAACUCUGUCUAAUAAAUCACAUAGGAUCACUCCUCUUCUAUCAAGGUCGAUAGAUUCCAUGUAAGUGCAUACCCUACUCCUACAGUGAACCUACUGCAGCCAAUCUACACAACAAGGAUCCAUAUGACUAGAGACCAUGUAUAUGUGCAGUCAAACUACAAUAACCUCACUGUGAGUAGCCGAAGCACCGCAGGUCAAAGGACCAGUCACACUACUGCAACAUCAAGUAAGUCACUGACGAGUGGAUAGACAUCCAAGUGACUUCUUGUCUUGGUCAUGCUCAGUACCCUUGUUCUCUAACAAGCACCUGCACUCUCACUUCAGUGUCCCUACACUGUGGACUCGAGUCUCAUCCAUCCAUAAGGAAAGCGAUCUGUGCACUGAUCGGAUCGAUCACCGUCCUCGUGAUGAUCCAUUGAUCAUGAGCAUUUAGAAAUUAAUCACCAAUGAUACAUGGCUCAAAUUCUCAACUCUUGAGAAUAUGUAUCAUCAUCUUAUUAAUUUCUUGGACGAUUCAUAGACACAUAAACAAUAUGAAUGAAAAGAUGCCCAUUUAUUAUUCAAUAAUAAUAAAGUUAAGUACAAAUUUAUGUCCCAGAGAAAAUAAUGUGUCUGCCAGAUUGGCUUCUAGGGCAUACAUCUAACAAAAAG